AAUGGGAAUCAUGCUGCUGUUUAUUAUUUUUUUCUUUUCUUCUGUCUCCAAAUUACAAUUACAUCUUCAACCCACUGGGGUAGAUUUGCCUCAGGAGAGGUUCCGAUUGUCUUGUUCAGAUUUUCUUUCCCAGUGAGCAUAGCUGCCUAUUACCAUUGGUGCAGGUAAUGCUGGAAGGACAUUUCCGAGCAGCUUCGGGUGUGGAGGAGAAUUGAGUUCUGUGGCUACAACUGGCUCAGCCUAAGGAAACAGGGGAACCCAGACCACAGACUCGGGGCCUCUGGGUCAACCAGGACAUGAAGAAAGGCCCUGCCCCUGAGUGGAAUGGAGGACCAGGACCUGGACAGACAUGAGAUGUCAUUUUUAGCAGGAGCCACCUCUGCUUGGCUCCAGGUGGUUGUGUGGACAUAGGGUAAGUGUGGCUCCCAGUCACUCACGAGAAGCUGAAAACCUGGAUUUUUAGAAAGUGAAAUUCCCAGAUUUUUAAAAACAGUGUGUCAAUUUGAAGUUUCUGGUAGAGAGAGAGAGACCCUAAAAUAACUCAGUAACUCAGUAUUUACUCAAAACAAUUCUAUGAAAUAGGUACUAUGAUUAUCCCAGUUGAGGAAACAGAGGCACAGAGAGGUUAAAUAAUAUCCCAAAGACAAAAAAGUAGAAGUGGAUUGGAGGAAGAGCCCAGCACAGAAGGGGUUAAAGGGGGAACUAUAGGCCCUUGUGUUGAAUAAAAGGAGACGGAGCCCAAUUUUUCUAUCAUAACAAUAAAUUGGCCCCAAAUUAAGCCAAUACCCAGUUCUUAUUGCUUCUGCAGAGAAUUAAUAAACCAUGGCAUCUUCUGAAAAUGGGGAAGCCAGCAGCUCAGAGAGAUGUCAGAAAGCUUUUUACGGGGCUGGAGAUGUUUUGCCUUAGCAAGUAAAAUGGUUAUGAUGGUUAUGCCACAAACAUGCAGAGAGGGGGAAACGGCACGGCUGCCCUGCCUGUGCCCAUUCCUGGCUCAGUUCAGAAGUGUGCCCACCAUGAGGAGCAAGUAUCUGCAGUAGCCAGCUCUCGGGGCGUUAAUGGCUGUGGCCUCCCAGAGAACACUCCGGAAUAUUUUAGGUUUAUAUUUUGCAGAUGGUGUGCCAAGUCAUUCCCUCAUUCGGCCUAUUAGAUGGUUAGUUUCCUUUUCCUAGUUAAAGGAUUAACUAGAAUUAUCAGUAAUCAUGAGCUUCCCCCCGAGGAUGGGUCAAAGGAAAUUAAUGGAAACUGCAGCAAUAGAGACAUGGGUUAGUUCCACAGAAGGAAUUCCUGACUGGGAGAAUUAGCCCCGGCACAGGUUCCAAGGGGGUGGAAUUAGAACCCAUCGUGGAACCUAGGCAGAGCUGGAAACCCCUGCAGGCUCUGGCCCAGAAUGGAGGUUACAGGCAAAAAAGCAGAGUUAGGCAGCAAGGUGGGUUAAAUACUUCACCAUAAAAAGUUCCAGAAACUUGGAUCUGAAUGGGGGCCUUUGAAAUAUUUCAGCCUGACCUUUUCAUGUACAGAUGAGAAAACUGUGAUCCAGACCUGGCCAGUGACUUGCUAAGGGUCACACAGCUAAGUAGCAGCAAACGUAGAACGCAGGGCUCCAGUCCCUGCCAUGAUUCCCCAACUUGGAUCUAGUAAUGCUCUCUAUAGAUGAGACGACAGCCUUCUCAGGUUCUCGGUCCAUGGGACUAUAAAAUGGAAUGUUGGGCUUGGCACAUCACAAUGCAAUUGUCUAUUUACAAGUUUAUUCCCAGUCUCCAAUGGAGGUGAAUGCCCCAAGGAUGGGGACCAUGACUUCCUCAUCUUUGUCACUGGGUGCCUUCCACAAGGCCUGACACACAGCAGAUCUUCAAAAAAACCUACCUACUGCAGAUCCAGCUGACCCUCCUAUCCUUCAUGCAGCAACUCCACAAUCCAGGCUGCUUUGACCUUAUGGUGCCAUCACCUAAAUAUGAGGCAUUCCGCAAGAUCACUUCAGCUGCAAUGAGCUGCUUCAGCCCAGGAGUGACACGUGCCCCUUACAGUCACAGCCUGUUGGCCAGGACAGCUAUCCAGCCUCACUUGGCUGCCAGAGGAGAGAAAUGUGAUCCUUCCAUGUGCCCAGGAGAGGAGCACAGAUACGCGGAUAUGGGGUGCAAGAGAUUCAGACUCUCUGUGCUCUCCUUCAGCAAGGCACAGGUUGAACUCAGGAAAAGUAAGUCAGAGAUUAAAUAAAUGUCUUCAUAUAAAGGUGUGAGUUUACAAAGAAGAAUCAAAUGAGGAACCCAAGCAACUGUUGCUUUCACAUAACUUGGAGGUUUCUAAGGCAGUGUUUCUCAAUGUCAAGAUGGCACGUUUCAAAAGACAACCUGAAUUCUCAGAUGAUUUCAAUGCAAGAUUAAUUUUCACUUGCCUCCAUUUUACAAAUAAGUAAAUGCCAUACUGUGA
This is a long non-coding RNA of Pan troglodytes (chimpanzee), 2427 nucleotides long. RefSeq lists it as uncharacterized. NCBI's taxonomy places the organism in Eukaryota, Metazoa, Chordata, Mammalia, Primates, Hominidae. The transcript is spliced from 3 exons. The record is from RefSeq and is a predicted model, not a curated record.